GGGUGAUUAGCUCAGUUGGUUCAGAGCACCUCGUUUACACCGAGGGGGUCGGGGGUUCGAGUCCCUCAUUACCCACUA
This 78-nucleotide transfer RNA is filed under the name Crocinitomix sp. RNAcentral's name for it is "tRNA-Val". It matches the Rfam family "tRNA". From Rfam's summary of the family: Transfer RNA (tRNA) molecules are approximately 80 nucleotides in length. Lineage: Bacteria; Pseudomonadati; Bacteroidota; Flavobacteriia; Flavobacteriales; Crocinitomicaceae. The record is from RNAcentral.